RNAcentral lists this ribosomal RNA (269 nucleotides) under uncultured prokaryote. Its description in RNAcentral is "partial 16S ribosomal RNA". It matches the Rfam family "Bacterial small subunit ribosomal RNA", at positions 524 to 792 of the family's 1533-position model. The record is from RNAcentral.
UACGUAGGUGGCGAGCGUUGUCCGGAUUUACUGGGCGUAAAGGGAGCGUAGGCGGACUUUUAAGUGAGAUGUGAAAUACCCGGGCUCAACUUGGGUGCUGCAUUUCAAACUGGAAGUCUAGAGUGCAGGAGAGGAGAAUGGAAUUCCUAGUGUAGCGGUGAAAUGCGUAGAGACUAGGAAGAACACCAGUGGCGAAGGCGAUUCUCUGGACUGUAACUGACGCUGAGGCUCGAAAGCGUGGGGAGCAAACAGGAUUAGAUACCCUGGUA